GACGAACGCUGGCGGCGUGCCUAAUACAUGCAAGUAGAACGCAGUUGCGAACGGGUGAGUAACGCGUAGGUAACUGCCUCAUAGCGGGGGAUAACUAUUGGAAACGAUAGCUAAUACCGCAUCCUGUGGGAUGGACCUGCGUUGUAUUAGCUAGUUGGUGAGGUAAAGGGUCACCAAGGCGACGAAACAUAGCCGCCCUUUGAGGGGGAUCGGCCGCGCUGGGACGUAGAGACGGCCAAGACUCGUACGGGAGGCAGCAGUAGGGAAUAGUCGGGAAUGGACGGAAGUCUGAGCGAGCAAGGCGGCGUGAGUGAGGAAGGGUGUCGGAUGCUAAAGCGCUGUUGUUAGAGAUGCGGUAGCUAACCAGAAAGGGACGGCUAACUACGUGCCAGCAGCCGCGGUAAUAC
Molecule: ribosomal RNA, 407 nt
Filed under: uncultured bacterium
Lineage: Bacteria
Description: partial 16S ribosomal RNA
Rfam family: Bacterial small subunit ribosomal RNA
Source: RNAcentral